Molecule: small nucleolar RNA, 79 nt
Filed under: Klebsormidium nitens
Lineage: Eukaryota; Viridiplantae; Streptophyta; Klebsormidiophyceae; Klebsormidiales; Klebsormidiaceae
Source: RNAcentral
UGCGAGUGAUGAAUUUUCCAAAUCCAACGCUGAUUCGCUGAUGAAACACACGAAAUCGAGCUUUUUAACCCUGACGCAC